Molecule: ribosomal RNA, 31 nt
Filed under: Callicladium imponens
Lineage: Eukaryota; Viridiplantae; Streptophyta; Bryopsida; Hypnales; Callicladiaceae
Also listed under: 6 other names
Description: partial 25S ribosomal RNA
Source: RNAcentral
CGGACCUCUAAUCGGAAAAGACUACCCGCUG